AACGUAGGUGGCGAGCGUUAUCCGGAUUUACUGGGCGUAAAGGGUGUGCAGGCGGGCUGUUAAGUGGUGUAUGAAAUAUCCCGGCUCAACCGGGAGAGGUUAUGCCAGACUGGCAGUCUAGAGAGCGAGAGAGGGACGUGGAAUUCCGGGUGUAGUGGUGAAAUGCGUAGAGAUCGGGAGGAACACCAGUGGCGAAGGCGGCUCUCUGGACCGGUUCUGACGCUCAGGCGCGAAAGCGUGGGGAGCGAUCCGG
Molecule: ribosomal RNA, 253 nt
Filed under: uncultured bacterium
Lineage: Bacteria
Description: partial 16S ribosomal RNA
Rfam family: Bacterial small subunit ribosomal RNA
Source: RNAcentral